RNAcentral lists this ribosomal RNA (164 nucleotides) under Lorenzochloa obtusa. RNAcentral describes it as "Anatherostipa obtusa 5.8S ribosomal RNA". It matches the Rfam family "5.8S ribosomal RNA". Rfam says of the family: 5.8S ribosomal RNA (5.8S rRNA) is a component of the large subunit of the eukaryotic ribosome. The record is from RNAcentral. RNAcentral also lists the same sequence under 1 other name. Lineage: Eukaryota; Viridiplantae; Streptophyta; Magnoliopsida; Poales; Poaceae.
CACACGACUCUCGGCAACGGAUAUCUCGGCUCUCGCAUCGAUGAAGAACGUAGCGAAAUGCGAUACCUGGUGUGAAUUGCAGAAUCCCGCGAACCAUCGAGUCUUUGAACGCAAGUUGCGCCCGAAGCCACCCGGCUGAGGGCACGCCUGCCUGGGCGUCACGC